RNAcentral lists this ribosomal RNA (1695 nucleotides) under Vibrio cholerae. RNAcentral describes it as "partial 23S ribosomal RNA". It matches the Rfam family "Bacterial large subunit ribosomal RNA", at positions 968 to 2651 of the family's 2925-position model. Lineage: Bacteria; Pseudomonadati; Pseudomonadota; Gammaproteobacteria; Vibrionales; Vibrionaceae. The record is from RNAcentral.
AAGUACUAUCCGGGAGACACACGGCGGGUGCUAACGUCCGUCGUGGAGAGGGAAACAACCCAGACCGCCAGCUAAGGUCCCAAAGUAUUGCUAAGUGGGAAACGAUGUGGGAAGGCUCAGACAGCUAGGAUGUUGGCUUAGAAGCAGCCAUCAUUUAAAGAAAGCGUAAUAGCUCACUAGUCGAGUCGGCCUGCGCGGAAGAUGUAACGGGGCUAAGCAAUACACCGAAGCUGCGGCAAUGUCUUUUAGACAUUGGGUAGGGGAGCGUUCUGUAAGCCGUUGAAGGUGAAUCGUAAGGUUUGCUGGAGGUAUCAGAAGUGCGAAUGCUGACAUGAGUAACGACAAAGGGGGUGAAAAACCUCCUCGCCGGAAGACCAAGGGUUCCUGUCCAACGUUAAUCGGGGCAGGGUGAGUCGACCCCUAAGGUGAGGCCGAAAGGCGUAAUCGAUGGGAAACGGGUUAAUAUUCCCGUACUUCUGACUAUUGCGAUGGGGGGACGGAGAAGGCUAGGUGGGCCAGGCGACGGUUGUCCUGGUUCAAGUGCGUAGGCUUGAGAGUUAGGUAAAUCCGGCUCUCUCUAAGGCUGAGACACGACGUCGAGCUACUACGGUAGUGAAGUCAUUGAUGCCAUGCUUCCAGGAAAAGCCUCUAAGCUUCAGAUAGUCAGGAAUCGUACCCCAAACCGACACAGGUGGUCGGGUAGAGAAUACCAAGGCGCUUGAGAGAACUCGGGUGAAGGAACUAGGCAAAAUGGUACCGUAACUUCGGGAGAAGGUACGCUCUUGAUGGUGAAGUCCCUCGCGGAUGGAGCUGACGAGAGUCGCAGAUACCAGGUGGCUGCAACUGUUUAUUAAAAACACAGCACUGUGCAAAAUCGCAAGAUGACGUAUACGGUGUGACGCCUGCCCGGUGCCGGAAGGUUAAUUGAUGGGGUUAGCGCAAGCGAAGCUCUUGAUCGAAGCCCCGGUAAACGGCGGCCGUAACUAUAACGGUCCUAAGGUAGCGAAAUUCCUUGUCGGGUAAGUUCCGACCUGCACGAAUGGCGUAAUGAUGGCCACGCUGUCUCCACCCGAGACUCAGUGAAAUUGAAAUCGCUGUGAAGAUGCAGUGUACCCGCGGCUAGACGGAAAGACCCCGUGAACCUUUACUACAGCUUGGCACUGAACAUUGAACCUACAUGUGUAGGAUAGGUGGGAGGCUAUGAAGACGUGACGCCAGUUGCGUUGGAGCCGUCCUUGAAAUACCACCCUUGUAUGUUUGAUGUUCUAACUUAGACCCAUUAUCUGGGUUGAGGACAGUGCCUGGUGGGUAGUUUGACUGGGGCGGUCUCCUCCCAAAGAGUAACGGAGGAGCACGAAGGUGGGCUAAUCACGGUUGGACAUCGUGAGGUUAGUGCAAUGGCAUAAGCCCGCUUAACUGCGAGAAUGACGGUUCGAGCAGGUGCGAAAGCAGGUCAUAGUGAUCCGGUGGUUCUGUAUGGAAGGGCCAUCGCUCAACGGAUAAAAGGUACUCCGGGGAUAACAGGCUGAUACCGCCCAAGAGUUCAUAUCGACGGCGGUGUUUGGCACCUCGAUGUCGGCUCAUCACAUCCUGGGGCUGAAGUCGGUCCCAAGGGUAUGGCUGUUCGCCAUUUAAAGUGGUACGCGAGCUGGGUUUAGAACGUCGUGAGACAGUUCGGUCCCUAUCUGCCGUGGG